Molecule: long non-coding RNA, 1357 nt
Organism: Gorilla gorilla gorilla (western lowland gorilla)
Lineage: Eukaryota; Metazoa; Chordata; Mammalia; Primates; Hominidae
Exons: 3
Source: RefSeq, a predicted model, not a curated record
AAGGGAAUAAAAGCAGGCUGCCCGAAGCAGCAGUGGCAACCCGUUUGGGUCUCCUUCCACACUGUGGAAGGUUUGUUCUUCGCGAUAAAUCUUGCUGCUGCUCACUCUUUGGGUCUGCCCUGCAUUUAUGACGUGUAACACUCACUGGGAAGGUCUGCAGCUUUACUUCUGAAGCCAGCAAGACCAGAAACCCACUGGGAGGAUUGAGCAACUUUGGAUGGGAGGAACGAACAACUGCAGAUGUGCCGCCGUCAGAGCUGUAGCACCGCGAACGUCUGCGGCUUCGCUCCUGAAGCCAGCGAGAUCACGAACCGACCAGAAGGCAAAAUCUCUGAACACGUCCGAACAUUAGAAGGAACAGACUCCGGACACGCCUUUUUUUUUUUUUUUUUUUGAGACAGUGUCUUUCUCUGUCGCCCAGGCUGAAGUGUAGUGCAAUGUCGGCUCACUGCAAGCUCUGCCUCUCGGGUUCAUGCCAUUCUCCUGCCUCAGCCUCCAGAGCAGCUGGGACUACAGGCGCCCGCUGCCACGCCCGGCUGAAUUUUUUUGUGUUUUUAGUGGAGACGGGGUCUCACGGUGUUAGCCAGGAUGGUCUCGAUCUCCUGAUGUGCCCGCCUGGGCCUCCCAAAGUGCGGGGAUUACAGGCGUGAAACACCGUGCCCAGCCACUCUUUAAGAACUGUAGCAGUCACCGCGAGGGUCCGCGGACGUCAUUGAGACUGAGAACCCGCCAAUUCCGGACACAAUUUCAUAGUACAUCAGUAUGGUCCAAUACAGGUACCUCCUCAGGAAACUCUGAAAAAGAAGAAGUAGAAAUAGUAUGAGACAAGAAACAGUCAUAUUCCAAAGAAUGAAAUACUGUUACAAAUGAUGGAUCCAGAAAAUCUUAUCUGGCAACUUGCUGUUAUUUUCAGUAAGCCUGAUGAUGAAGAAGAAAGGAAAGAAGAAAAGGUAAAACUCAAGAUGUGCUAUAGAGAAAUGUCUUUAGAUAAGCAACUCUGGCUAGAUUACUUUUUAUUAAUAUUCUGCUUUUUCUGUUUGACACUGAGACCAUUUAACUCAUUCAUUCUAUGUUCUUCCUCUUUGAUCUAUUAAUACAAAUUUAUGUCCUGAAGCAUAAUUAAAAUUAAAAUAGUAAUUGAAAUUAGUUUUUACCAUGGUAUCUGACAUACAAUCAUAAUGUUCUUCUAAUAACAUUUCAUAUGAAAACACUGUUAUAUUCUAGACAUACACAAAAACCAAAACUUAAGCAGCUUUAAAAACUUCUUAUGAUAAAAUAUUUAAAUACACAAAUAUAUAAUCUAAUAAAUAAUGAUUUAUCUAUUUCCAGUUUGAACAAUAAACUCAUAUUCAAUUUU